RNAcentral lists this ribosomal RNA (1314 nucleotides) under unidentified marine bacterioplankton. RNAcentral describes it as "bacterial SSU rRNA". It matches the Rfam family "Bacterial small subunit ribosomal RNA", at positions 9 to 1371 of the family's 1533-position model. The record is from RNAcentral.
GAGUUUGAUCAUGGCUCAGGAUGAACGCUGGCGGCGUGCUUAACACAUGCAAGUCGAACGAACCUUCGGGUUAGUGGCGGACGGGUGAGUAACGCGUGAGAAUCUGCCCUCAGGAGGGGGAUAACGGUUGGAAACGACCGCUAAUACCCCAUAUGCCGCGAGGUGAAAUGAAUUUCGCCUGAGGAUGAGCUCGCGUCUGAUUAGCUAGUUGGUGGGGUAAAGGCCUACCAAGGCAUCGAUCAGUAGCUGGUCUGAGAGGAUGAUCAGCCACACUGGGACUGAGACACGGCCCAGACUCCUACGGGAGGCAGCAGUGGGGAAUUUUCCGCAAUGGGCGAAAGCCUGACGGAGCAACGCCGCGUGAGGGAUGAAGGCCUCUGGGCUGUAAACCUCUUUUAUCAAGGAAGAAGAUCUGACGGUACUUGAUGAAUAAGCCACGGCUAAUUCCGUGCCAGCAGCCGCGGUAAUACGGGAGUGGCAAGCGUUAUCCGGAAUUAUUGGGCGUAAAGCGUCCGCAGGCGACCCUUCAAGUCUGCUGUUAAAAAGUGGAGCUUAACUCCAUCAUGGCAGUGGAAACUGUUGGGCUUGAGUGUGGUAGGGGCAGAGGGAAUUCCCGGUGUAGCGGUGAAAUGCGUAGAUAUCGGGAAGAACACCAGUGGCGAAGGCGCUCUGCUGGGCCAUCACUGACGCUCAUGGACGAAAGCCAGGGGAGCGAAAGGGAUUAGAUACCCCUGUAGUCCUGGCCGUAAACGAUGAACACUAGGUGUCGGGGGAAUCGACCCCCUCGGUGUCGUAGCCAACGCGUUAAGUGUUCCGCCUGGGGAGUACGCACGCAAGUGUGAAACUCAAAGGAAUUGACGGGGGCCCGCACAGGCGGUGGAGUAUGUGGUUUAAUUCGAUGCAACGCGAAGAACCUUACCAGGGUUUGACAUCCUGCGAAUCUCUUGGAAACGAGAGAGUGCCUUCGGGAACGCAGUGACAGGUGGUGCAUGGCUGUCGUCAGCUCGUGUCGUGAGAUGUUGGGUUAAGUCCCGCAGCGAGCGCAACCCACGUCUUUAGUUGCCAGCAUUUAGUUGGGCACUCUAGAGAGACCGCCGGUGAUAAACCGGAGGAAGGUGUGGAUGACGUCAAGUCAUCAUGCCCCUUACAUCCUAGGCUACACACGUACUACAAUGCUACGGACAAAGGGCAGCAAGUUCGCGAGGACAAGCAAAUCCCAUAAACCGUGGCUCAGUUCAGAUCGUAGGCUGCAACUCGCCUACGUGAAGGAGGAAUCGCUAGUAAUCGCAGGUCAGCAUACUGCGGUGAAUACGU